AGAAAUUAGGCUUUGCCAGAUGUAAUUUUUUGGGGGGAGGAAAAAAAAGCGGUAUACAGCGGCCGACAGCGCUGUAUACAACGCUAGACUGGUGUCUAAUAAGCAAGUAAAUAAGGCAGAAAAUAGAGAAACGCACUGAGAGAUAGAGCUGUGCGAUUUUAUUAUCUGCAUACUUACCGUGAACCCUUUACAUUGUUCUUCAUUUUGUCAGUAGUAAUAUAGGUGCUCUUGUUUAGCAGGCAAAAAAAGAGCACCUAUAUUACUUCUUUUGCCAUUGUUCUAUUAUGUAUUUUUGUUCUAUUGUUAAGUGUCCUUGGGUGUCUUAAAAGGCACUUUAUAAAUAAAUAAAUAUGUCUGUGAAGGUUCUCAGUCAUCCGGGUCAUCGUAGUCUAAGGAGUUUGGAAAGAAAAGCGUCUGGACUUCUUUAAGUUGCUUGAACACGUUUCACCUCUCAUCCGAGAAGCUUCUUCAGUUCUAAUGGUCAAAUGGUGGAGAGUCCCAGAUUUAGGACACCCAGUGGGAGACAAGAGGGACAAAGGGAAGGUGCACCGUGGUCCUAAACACAACAGAUUACCACACAAAGAUUACUACUCUCCUCAGUGACAACAAUACCUACGAAGCCUUAAAGCGAGACCCCACAAGCAGCUACAAAAAGAAAGUUAUAGCUUGCCUUCAAGACCUUGAAAGGGACAAAAUCAUUGACCGCCUUACAUAUCACCGCCUUUACCCAGGGGAUGCCAUACCCUGCAUUUACGGACUUCCUAAGAUCCACAAAGAAGGUGUCCCACUCAGACCCAUUGUAGGUGGCAUAAACUCAGCCACUUACAACAUCUCGAAACACCUUGCUACCAUCCUAGCACCUCUUAUGGGGAACACCCCACAUCACAUCAAGAACUCCACCGACUUCAUCGACAAGGUCUAGAAACUUACCCUGGACCCAGAUGAAACCAUGGUGUCCUUUGAUGUAGUCUCCCUCUUCACUUGCAUACCCACCACGGAGGCCGUGGAGACUGUCAGAAAACGACAACAAGAAGACAGCUCCUUGGAGGACAGGACCAACUUCACACCCGAUCAGAUUUGCACACUGUUACCCUCUGCCUCACCACUACAUAUUUCAAAUACAACAAGGGUUUCUACAGACAAAAACAAGGCUGCGCCAUGGGCUCCCCGUGUCACCUAUUGUAGCCAACCUUUACAUGGAGGAAGUGGAAAGGAAGGCUCUUGGCUCUUUCAAAGGAAGAGUAACCAGCCACUGGUACAGAUAUGUAGACGACACCUGGGUCAAAAUCAAAACACAAGAAGUGGAAUCCUUCACUGCGCACAUUAACGCUGUGGAUAAAAACAUCAAGUUCACCAGGGAAGACACAAAGGACGACUGUUUGCCUUUCCUGGACUGCGCUGUGCACAUCGAAGAGAAUGGCAACCUCAACAUUGAAGUUUACCGGAAGCCCACACACAUGGACCAGUACCUCCUCUUUGACUCCCAUCACCCUCUGGAACUCAAACUUGGAGUAAUUAGGACCCUACACCACCGGGCAGAACAUGUUCCCUCUGAGCCUGAAGGGAAAAAGAAGGAACACACACAUAUAAAGGAAGCACUUAAAACAUGCGGCUAUCCUAAUUGGGCGUUUAUAAAGUCAGCAAAGAGGCACAGAAAAGAAGAUCAGACACCAGCGAGGGAGGAUAAGAAAGACAGACGCAACAACAUUGUCAUCCCCUAUGUAGCCGGUGUAUCAGAGAAACUCAGGAGGGUUCUCUCCAAGCAUGACAUCCCAGUGUAUUUCAGACCCAGCAACACGCUCAGACAGAAACUGGUUCACCCGAAAGACAAAACGCCAAAACACAGACUUAACAAUGUGGCGUAUGCUGUACAGUGCAGCGAGGAAUGCCCAGACCUCUACAUCGGAGAGACCAAACAGCCACUUCACAAGCGCAUGGCACAACAUAGAAGAGCCACCUCCACGGGACAAGACUCAGCUGUCCAUCUGGAUCUAAAGGACAAAGGUCACUCUUUCGAGGAUGCCAAUGUUCACAAUUUGGACAGAGAGGACAGAUGGUUUGAAAGAGGAGUGAAAGAAGCCAUCUAUGUCCACUGUGAGCGACCAUCUUUGAACAGAGGCGGUGGUUUAUGACACCAACUGUCUGCCAUCUAUAAUCCAGUUUUGAGAUCCCUUCCCAGACGCCUUAAGGCCCACUCACAUCCUGGGUCAUCUGACCUCAGGAAAUCACAUGAUAGGGUGGGGCCAGGUUUCACAAUGAGCUCACCCGAAACCCUGGCUGAUUGUGACCCACACCCACUUUCGCACCUUGGCUCAUGUGAUUAGGUAGAGGAUCACCAGCGUGUCCUAAAUCUGGGACUCUCCACCAUUUGACUCUUAGAACUGAAGAAGCUUCUCAGAUGAGAGGUGAAACAUCUUCAAGCAACUUAAAGAAGUCCAGACGCUUUUCUUUCCAAGCUCCUUAGACUACGAUGACCUGGAGAAUCUUCACAGACAUUUAGACAUGCUCAGUGUUUUAUGAAAAGCCACGAUAGCAGAACAGGUACUUACUAAAAAAGCUAUGCAUGCUUUACGCUAUGUUGUGAUUAAUACAAAAUGUAAAUAACUGAGUUUAGAUAUCUGAGGGGUUAUUUAAAAAAUUAUUAGUUCUCUUUAUGCAUUUUAUAGUGAGCUUAGAGCAUACCACCCUGAGCACACCCAAUUUUGUCUGAUCUCAAACGGAAAGCAGACAGUCAAUCUUCAAGCUGGCAGGAGUUAAACAUACUUAAAAACACAUCACUUGACUGUCUUAGGUAAUUAUAGGCCAAUCUCUAACCUUCCUUUUCCUUCCAAAUUUGUCAGACAAGGAGACUUCUUUCAUGUCUCUUAGGAGAGAGAGUAUUGACAAGAGUAUUGACAAUUUAGUGAUCGUAGAUCAAACAUAAAUUUGAUUUAACUUACUUAUUGUUUCUCACAUUAUUGUGGGUGAAGUUUGGCCCACUCAUCUUUAUGAUGUUGCUUCAGUUCAGAUCAGUUGAGGUUUGCUGGCAUUUAAUUCGGCUCUCUCCUGACACAGCAUUUCAGUCAGGUUGAGGUUUGACUGGGCUACUGUAACACAUUGAUUCUUUUCGUUUUCAGUCAUUCUGUUGUAGAUUUAUUGAUGUGCUUGGGUUGUUUUCCUGAUGUAUGACACAGUUUUAGUCUGUGAAACAGAUGGUGUUACAUUUGACUCUACAUUACUGUGGUAUACAAAGGAGUUGGUUGACAGAAUGGCUGUACAGAUCCUGUGGGGGCAAAACAAGCCCAACAAGCUGUGUUAAUGUGUCAUAUUCUUUUUAAAGAGAACAGGCUUUCUCCUGGUAACCCAUUGAAUAAACCAUAAAAUAUAAUUAAGA
Molecule: long non-coding RNA, 3373 nt
Organism: Astatotilapia calliptera (eastern happy)
Lineage: Eukaryota; Metazoa; Chordata; Actinopteri; Cichliformes; Cichlidae
Source: Ensembl